CCCAGUUGCAGUAAUGUGGGUGGAGCAGCUCAACAAUAAACUGCAGGUUGGUACCAGAGUCAAAGCUCCGUCCUACAGUCAUUAUGUUCUUGUACUGAUCUGUGUCGUGUCUUUAAACUCGCUCUUCUGCUUUCAAGUGAUGACGGCUGUCAGCGAAUCACUUUGAAACUAAAAGGAACGGAAAACAUGAUGUUUCUCAGGCUGCGUGUGAAGAGGGGACAGCAACCAGCCAAAUGAAGACUCACUCUGGGUUUUUUCUUGUCCAUUGUCUGUCAGCAUCGUGACUUCAUGGAGUCAUUUUACUCUCUUUCUCUGUGGAUUUUUAUCCUCUCUUUCAAUUUCAUUAAAGGAUCAUUUGUAGUGGAUGUGACACAGAGCUCCUAUCAGGCAGAGGAGAACCACAACAUCACACUGGAGUGGACGUUCACCACCAAACCAGA
Oreochromis niloticus (Nile tilapia) is the source of this 440-nucleotide long non-coding RNA. RefSeq lists it as uncharacterized. The transcript is spliced from 4 exons. The record is from RefSeq and is a predicted model, not a curated record. NCBI's taxonomy places the organism in Eukaryota, Metazoa, Chordata, Actinopteri, Cichliformes, Cichlidae.